Molecule: long non-coding RNA, 431 nt
Filed under: Carica papaya (papaya)
Lineage: Eukaryota; Viridiplantae; Streptophyta; Magnoliopsida; Brassicales; Caricaceae
Description: long non-coding RNA (CPAP_LNC007882)
Source: RNAcentral
AACUAAAUCUAUAGCUGUCACUCUAUGAUCUGACUUCAUGUUCCUAUAAAAUACGUACUAAUUUGUUGACCUAGUAAAUCAAAAGAAAUUAGAAAGUAAGAUACACUAAUUUUUAACUAGUGUGACUGAACAUAUGCUCUAUUUGAUACCUCAUCAAAAAUCACACAACCUUGAAGUCAAAACUAUAUCGAUUAAUGUUAAGUAUGUUAAAGAAUAUGAUUUCCAUAAAUCAUAUCAUCAACUACACUGAUUUUAUUUUAGAUAACUUUUAUUAGAUUUGAAUUUGACAAAAAAUGUGAUUUUGUAGAUCAAGUCAAAGAUUACACAGAUUUAAAAUCCUAAAUUCCUAAAAGCCCAAUUUGAUUUUCAAGAAUCGUCAAAUGGCUAUCUUUGACUCUUAGACAUUUAAGUAAUUCAUUCCUAUAGAUCUU